GACGAACGCUGGCGGCGUGCCUAAUACAUGCAAGUCGAACGCUUCUUUCCUCCCGAGUGCUUGCACUCAAUUGGAAAGAGGAGUGGCGGACGGGUGAGUUACACGUGGGUAACCUACCAAUCAGAGGGGGAUAACACUUGGAAACAGGUGCUAAUACCGCAUAACAGUUUAUGCCGCAUGGCAUAAGAGUGAAAGGGGCUUUCGGGUGUCGCUGAUGGAUGGACCCGCGGUGCAUUAGGAAGUUGGUGAGGUAACGGCUCACCAAGGCCACGAUGAAUAGGCGGCCUGAGGGGGUGGGUGGCCACCAUGGGAGUGAGACAUGGCCCAGACUACUACGGGAAGGAGCAGUAGGGAAUCUUCGGCCAAGGACGAAAGUCUGAACGAGCCACGGCGCAUGAGGUUAAAAAGUUCUCGGAUUUUAAAAGACUGUUGUUAGGGAAGAACAAGGACGUUAGUAACUGAACGUUGUCUGACGGUAACUAACAAGAAAACCACGGCUAACUACGUG
RNAcentral lists this ribosomal RNA (508 nucleotides) under uncultured bacterium. RNAcentral's name for it is "partial 16S ribosomal RNA". It matches the Rfam family "Bacterial small subunit ribosomal RNA", at positions 28 to 507 of the family's 1533-position model. The record is from RNAcentral.